This 136-nucleotide ribosomal RNA is filed under the name Microcebus murinus (gray mouse lemur). The record is from RNAcentral. Lineage: Eukaryota; Metazoa; Chordata; Mammalia; Primates; Cheirogaleidae.
AUCUAUAGCCACACCACCCUGAAAAACACCCAAACUCAUCUGAUCUCGGAAGCUAGGCAGAGCCCAGCCUAGCUAGUACUCGGAUGGGAGAAAAGAAUAUGCAAAGUCCUAGAAGAGAAGACAAGUAUGACACAUU